UGGGGAAUCUUCCGCAAUGGACGAAAGUCUGACGGAGCAACGCCGCGUGAGUGAAGACGGCCUUCGGGUUGUAAAGCUCUGUUAUUCGGGAAGAACGAUUCGUUUGUGAACAAUGAACGGAAGUGACGGUACCGAAAGAGAAAGCCACGGCUAACUACGUGCCAGCAGCCGCGGUAAUACGUAGGUGGCAAGCGUUGUCCGGAAUUAGUGGGCGUAAAGAGCGCGUAGGCGGUAUGGUAAGUCUGUCUUAGAAGUGCGGGGCUUAACCCCGUGAGGGGACAGAGACUGUCAUACUGGAGUCUCGGAGAGGAAAGCGGAAUUCCUAGUGUAGCGGUGAAAUGCGUAGAGAUUAGGGAGAACACCGGUGGAGAAGGCGGCUUUCUGGACGAGCACUGACGCUGAGGCGCGAAAGCGUGGGGAGCGAACAGG
Molecule: ribosomal RNA, 429 nt
Filed under: Fusobacteriota bacterium
Lineage: Bacteria; Fusobacteriati; Fusobacteriota
Description: Fusobacteria bacterium partial 16S ribosomal RNA
Rfam family: Bacterial small subunit ribosomal RNA
Source: RNAcentral